ACGGGUGCGUAACGCGUAUGCAACCUACCUUUAACAGGGGGAGUAACACUGAGAAAUUGGUACUAAUACCCCAUAAUAUGGGCGCUCCGCAUGGAGAGUCCAUUAAAGAGAGCAAUCUUGGUUACAGACGAGCAUGCGCUCCAUUAGCCAGUUGGCGGGGUAACGGCCCACCAAGGCGACGAUGGAUAGGGGUUCUGAGAGGAAGGUCCCCCACAUUGGAACUGAGACACGGUCCAA
RNAcentral lists this ribosomal RNA (237 nucleotides) under uncultured bacterium. RNAcentral's name for it is "partial 16S ribosomal RNA". It matches the Rfam family "Bacterial small subunit ribosomal RNA", at positions 102 to 334 of the family's 1533-position model. The record is from RNAcentral.